UAAGGAAUAUUGGACAAUGGACGCAAGUCUGAUCCAGCCAUGCCGCGUGAAGGAUGAAUGCCCUCUGGGUUGUAAACUUCUUUUAUAGGGGAAGAAAGAUACUUUUUUUAAGGUAGCUGACGGUACCCUAUGAAUAAGCACCGGCUAACUCCGUGCCAGCAGCCGCGGUAAUACGGAGGGUGCAAGCGUUAUCCGGAUUUACUGGGUUUAAAGGGUGCGUAGGCGGGCAUGUAAGUCAGUGGUGAAAUACCGGAGCUUAACUUCGGAACUGCCAUUGAUACUAUAUGUCUUGAAUAUUGUGGAGGUAAGCGGAAUAUGUCAUGUAGCGGUGAAAUGCAUAGAUAUGACAUAGAACACCGAUUGCGGAGGCAGCUUGCUACGCAAAUAUUGACGCUGAGGCACGAAAGCGUGGGGAUCAAACA
Molecule: ribosomal RNA, 422 nt
Filed under: uncultured bacterium
Lineage: Bacteria
Description: bacterial SSU rRNA
Rfam family: Bacterial small subunit ribosomal RNA
Source: RNAcentral